GGUUGAUCCUGCCAGUAGUCAUAUGCUUGUCUCAAAGAUUAAGCCAUGCAUGUCUAAGUAUAAAUGACUUUGUACAGUGAAACUGCGAAUGGCUCAUUAAAUCAGUUAUAGUUUAUUUGAUGGUACCUUGCUACAUGGAUAACUGUGGUAAUUCUAGAGCUAAUACAUGCAUUAAAGCCCCGACUUCUGGGAGGGGUGUAUUUAUUAGAUAAAAAACCAACGCGGCUUGCCGCUCACUUGGUGAUUCAUAAUAACUGCUCGAAUCGCAUGGCCUUGCGCC
Molecule: ribosomal RNA, 280 nt
Filed under: uncultured eukaryote
Lineage: Eukaryota
Description: partial 18S ribosomal RNA
Rfam family: Eukaryotic small subunit ribosomal RNA
Source: RNAcentral